AUUUGGGCCAGGUGAGGGGGCUAGCGGUCCCCUGUACCCGAAAUCCGCUUCAUGCGGGAACCCACGCUGUCAAAACGUGAAUUGGGCUUGUACCAAAGCCAUUGUUUGGACGACGACCCUUUGUCCUAAAAGGUCGAUGGCAAUUGCCAACCCGCCAGGUUCGGAAGAAAGCAACGGUACCAAUCGUCUUCGAUGCUUUUAGACCGCAGAGGCGAGGAAAAACAAUGGACUAAACUUUGGGACAAAACCAGUGCGCUAUUUGGCAGCGGCCCACUU
RNAcentral lists this signal recognition particle RNA (276 nucleotides) under Candidatus Iainarchaeum sp. Its description in RNAcentral is "signal recognition particle sRNA". It matches the Rfam family "Archaeal signal recognition particle RNA". The record is from RNAcentral. Lineage: Archaea; Nanobdellati; Candidatus Iainarchaeota; Candidatus Iainarchaeia; Candidatus Iainarchaeales; Candidatus Iainarchaeaceae.